GCAUUGGUGGUUCAGUGGUAGAAUUCUCG
RNAcentral lists this non-coding RNA (29 nucleotides) under Drosophila erecta. Lineage: Eukaryota; Metazoa; Arthropoda; Insecta; Diptera; Drosophilidae. The record is from RNAcentral. RNAcentral also lists the same sequence under 11 other names.